This 254-nucleotide ribosomal RNA is filed under the name uncultured bacterium. RNAcentral describes it as "partial 16S ribosomal RNA". It matches the Rfam family "Bacterial small subunit ribosomal RNA", at positions 524 to 776 of the family's 1533-position model. The record is from RNAcentral.
UACAGAGGGUGCGAGCGUUGUUCGGAAUUAUUGGGCGUAAAGGGCGCGUAGGCGGCCACCGCAAGUCGACUGUGAAAUCUCCGGGCUUAACCCGGAAAGGUCAGCCGAUACUGCGGGGCUAGAGUGCAGAAGGGGCAACUGGAAUUCUCGGUGUAGCGGUGAAAUGCGUAGAUAUCGAGAGGAACACCUGCGGCGAAGGCGGGUUGCUGGGCUGACACUGACGCUGAGGCGCGAAAGCGUGGGUAGCAAACAGG